Small nuclear RNA from Perognathus longimembris pacificus (Pacific pocket mouse), 125 nucleotides. NCBI's taxonomy places the organism in Eukaryota, Metazoa, Chordata, Mammalia, Rodentia, Heteromyidae. The record is from RefSeq and is a predicted model, not a curated record.
GUGUUGUAUGAAAGGAGAGAAGGUUAGCACUCCCUUGGCAAGGAUGGAGGAGGCCUGGGGUCCUGACAACAUGCAUAGGGUUAAGACAUUGCCACCCACUUUGUGGCAUCUAACCAUAGCGGUUU